Molecule: ribosomal RNA, 424 nt
Filed under: uncultured eukaryote
Lineage: Eukaryota
Description: SSU rRNA
Rfam family: Eukaryotic small subunit ribosomal RNA
Source: RNAcentral
CAAUAGCGUAUAUUAAAGUUGUUGCGGUUAAAAGCUCGUAGUUGGAUUUCUGUUGAGGUCGGGCGGUGUACACCUCGUGUAUUAUUUGCUUCGGUCUUGGCAUCCUCUUGGGGAACGUAUCAGGACUUUAUUGGACUGUGCGAGAUUCAAGACUUUUACUUUGAGGAAAUUAGAGUGUUCACGGCAGGCAAGUGCUUUGAAUACAUUAGCAUGGAAUAAUAAUAUAGGACCUUCGUUCUAUUUGUUGGUUUCUUAGAACUUAGGUAAUGAUUAAUAGGGACAAUUGGGGGCGAUUCGUAUUAACGCGUCAGAGGUGGAAUUCUUGGAUUGUGUUACGUACGAACUACUGCGAAAGCAUUUGUCCAAGGAUGUUUUCUAUUGAUCAAGAACGAAAGUAAGGGGAUCGAAGAUGAUUAGAUACCAU